RNAcentral lists this ribosomal RNA (292 nucleotides) under uncultured Planctomycetota bacterium. Its description in RNAcentral is "uncultured planctomycete partial 16S ribosomal RNA". Lineage: Bacteria; Pseudomonadati; Planctomycetota. The record is from RNAcentral.
GGACUACACGGGUAUCUAAUCCCGUUUGCUCCCCUGGCUUUCGCGCAUCAGCGUCAGUGAAGGUCCAGCGUGCCGCUUUCGCCACCGGAGUUCCUGAUGAUAUCAACACAUUUCACCGCUCCACCAUCAGUUCCGCACGCCCCUACCUUACUCGAGACUAUCAGUAUCAGGGGCAGUUCCCCAGUUGAGCUGGGGGAUUUCACCCCUGACUUGAUAGUCCGCCUACGCGCCCUUUAAGCCCAGUGAUUCCGAACAACGUUUGCACGGUUCGUCUUACCGCGGCUGCUGGCAC